CCUACGGGAGGCAGCAGGGAGGAAUAGUGGGCAAUGGGCGCGAGCCGGAACCAGCAAAGUAGCGUGAAGGAUGACGACCCUACGGGUUGUAAACUUCUUUUAUAAAGGAAUAAAGUGAGGCACGUGUGCCUUUUUGUAUGUACGUUAUGAAUAAGGAUCGGCUAACUCCGUGCCAGCAGCCGCGGUAAUACGGAGGAGCCGAGCGUUAUCCGGAUUGAUUGGGGUUACAGGGAGCGUAGAUGGGUUGUUAAGUCAGUUGUGAAAGUUUGCGGCUCAACCGUAAAAUUGCAAUUGAUACUGGCAGUCUUGCGUACAGUUGCGUUAGGCGGACUUCGUGUUGUCGCGGUUCCAUGCUUAGCUCUCAC
RNAcentral lists this ribosomal RNA (365 nucleotides) under uncultured bacterium. Its description in RNAcentral is "partial 16S ribosomal RNA". It matches the Rfam family "Bacterial small subunit ribosomal RNA", at positions 338 to 700 of the family's 1533-position model. The record is from RNAcentral.